UUGUAGCCUUCCAGCGUGCUUGGGUCUGGGGGGACUCCCUGCCUUCCUGCAGUGCUUGCCAGAGUGUUCUGAAAUGGUUGGAGGGCUCGCCCCAUCCCUUCCUCAGAGCAUGGGCAUAGACAUUUCAGACAGUU
This is a small nucleolar RNA of Trichechus manatus latirostris (Florida manatee), 134 nucleotides long. RefSeq annotates it as small nucleolar RNA SNORA9. The transcript has a single exon. The record is from RefSeq and is a predicted model, not a curated record. NCBI's taxonomy places the organism in Eukaryota, Metazoa, Chordata, Mammalia, Sirenia, Trichechidae.